CGGGGUGUAGCUUAGCCUGGUAGAGCGCCUGGUUUGGGACCAGGAGGUCGAUGGUUCGAAUCCAUUCACCCCGACCA
This 77-nucleotide transfer RNA is filed under the name Pelagicoccus sp. SDUM812003. RNAcentral's name for it is "tRNA-Pro". It matches the Rfam family "tRNA". Rfam says of the family: Transfer RNA (tRNA) molecules are approximately 80 nucleotides in length. Their secondary structure includes four short double-helical elements and three loops (D, anti-codon, and T loops). Further hydrogen bonds mediate the characteristic L-shaped molecular structure. tRNAs have two regions of fundamental functional importance: the anti-codon, which is responsible for specific mRNA codon recognition, and the 3' end, to which the tRNAs corresponding amino acid is attached (by aminoacyl-tRNA synthetases). tRNAs cope with the degeneracy of the genetic code in two manners: having more than one tRNA (with a specific anti-codon) for a particular amino acid; and 'wobble' base-pairing, i.e. permitting non-standard base-pairing at the 3rd anti-codon position. The record is from RNAcentral. Lineage: Bacteria; Pseudomonadati; Verrucomicrobiota; Opitutia; Puniceicoccales; Pelagicoccaceae.